GAUGAACGCUGGCGGAAUGCUUUACACAUGCAAGUCGAACGGCAGCACGGGGGCAACCCUGGUGGCGAGUGGCGAACGGGUGAGUAAUACAUCGGAACGUGCCCAAUCGUGGGGGAUAACGUAGCGAAAGCUACGCUAAUACCGCAUACGAUCUACGGAUGAAAGCGGGGGAUCGCAAGACCUCGCGCGAUUGGAGCGGCCGAUGGCAGAUUAGGUAGUUGGUGAGGUAAAGGCUCACCAAGCCUUCGAUCUGUAGCUGGUCUGAGAGGACGACCAGCCACACUGGGACUGAGACACGGCCCAGACUCCUACGGGAGGCAGCAGUGGGGAAUUUUGGACAAUGGGCGAAAGCCUGAUCCAGCCAUUCCGCGUGCAGGAUGAACGGCCCUCGGGUUGUAAACUGUCUUUUGUACGGAACGAAACGCGUACGAGUUAAUACCUUGACGUAAUGACGGUACGUAAGAAUAAGCACCGGCUAACUACGUGCCAGCAGCCGCGUAAUCUCG
RNAcentral lists this ribosomal RNA (506 nucleotides) under uncultured bacterium. RNAcentral's name for it is "bacterial SSU rRNA". It matches the Rfam family "Bacterial small subunit ribosomal RNA", at positions 28 to 527 of the family's 1533-position model. The record is from RNAcentral.